This 383-nucleotide ribosomal RNA is filed under the name Phocaeicola coprocola DSM 17136. Its description in RNAcentral is "bacterial SSU rRNA". It matches the Rfam family "Bacterial small subunit ribosomal RNA", at positions 48 to 422 of the family's 1533-position model. The record is from RNAcentral. Lineage: Bacteria; Pseudomonadati; Bacteroidota; Bacteroidia; Bacteroidales; Bacteroidaceae.
UUAACACAUGCAAGUCGAGGGGCAGCAUGAACUUAGCUUGCUAAGUUUGAUGGCGACCGGCGCACGGGUGAGUAACACGUAUCCAACCUUCCGUUUACUCAGGGAUAGCCUUUCGAAAGAAAGAUUAAUACCUGAUAGUAUGGUGAGAUUGCAUGAUAACACCAUUAAAGAUUUAUUGGUAAACGAUGGGGAUGCGUUCCAUUAGGUAGUAGGCGGGGUAACGGCCCACCUAGCCUGCGAUGGAUAGGGGUUCUGAGAGGAAGGUCCCCCACAUUGGAACUGAGACACGGUCCAAACUCCUACGGGAGGCAGCAGUGAGGAAUAUUGGUCAAUGGGCGAGAGCCUGAACCAGCCAAGUAGCGUGAAGGGUGAAGGUCCUACGG